AAAACUUUACAAUGCGGGAAACCGUGAUAAGGGAACUCCGAGUGCCCGUAAAAUCGGGCUGUCCAUCUGUUUAAAUAACAGGUGAAGAAAGGGCCGGGCAAGACCGGUGCCAGCCGCCGCGGUAAUACCGGCGGCUCGAGUGGUGGCCACUAUUACUGGGCUUAAAGCGUUCGUAGCUGGUUUGUUAAGUCUCUGGGGAAAUCUGCCGGCUCAACCGGCAGGCGUUCCAGGGAUACUGGCAGACUAGGGACCGGGAGAGGUGAGGGGUACUCCAGGGGUAGGAGUGAAAUCCUGUAAUCCUUGGGGGACCACCUGUGGCGAAGGCGCCUCACCAGAACGGCUCCGACAGUGAGGGACGAAAGCUGGGGGAGCAAACCGGAUUAGA
This 385-nucleotide ribosomal RNA is filed under the name uncultured archaeon. RNAcentral describes it as "bacterial SSU rRNA". It matches the Rfam family "Archaeal small subunit ribosomal RNA", at positions 343 to 733 of the family's 1478-position model. The record is from RNAcentral.